RNAcentral lists this ribosomal RNA (497 nucleotides) under uncultured bacterium. RNAcentral describes it as "partial 16S ribosomal RNA". It matches the Rfam family "Bacterial small subunit ribosomal RNA", at positions 28 to 507 of the family's 1533-position model. The record is from RNAcentral.
GAUGAACGCUGGCGGCGUGCCUAAUACAUGCAAGUCGAGCGAACAGACGAGGAGCUUGCUCCUCUGACGUUAGCGGCGGACGGGUGAGUAACACGUGGAUAACCUACCUAUAAGACUGGGAUAACUUCGGGAAACCAGAGCUAAUACCGGAUAAUAUAUUGAACCGCAUGGUUCAAUAGUUAAAGACGGUUUUGCUGUCACUUAUAGAUGGAUCCGCGCCGCAUUAGCUAGUUGGUAAGGUAACGGCUUACCAAGGCGACGAUGCGUAGCCGACCUGAGAGGGUGAUCGGCCACACUGGAACUGAGACACGGUCCAGACUCCUACGGGAGGCAGCAGUAGGGAAUCUUCCGCAAUGGGCGAAAGCCUGACGGAGCAACGCCGCGUGAGUGAUGAAGGUCUUCGGAUCGUAAAACUCUGUUAUUAGGGAAGAACAAAUGUGUAAGUAACUAUGCACGUCUUGACGGUACCUAAUCAGAAAGCCACGGCUAACUACGUG